GCAAGUCGAGGGGUAACAUUGGUGCUUGCAUCAGAUGACGACCGGCGCACGGGUGCGUAACGCGUAUAGAACCUACCUUUUACAGAGGGAUAGCCUUUAGAAAUGAAGAUUAAUACCUCAUGGCAUUGAGAUUUGGCAUCAAAUUUUAAUUAAAGAUUUAUCGGUAAAAGAUGGCUAUGCGUCUUAUUAGCUAGAUGGUAAGGUAACGGCUUACCAUGGCAACGAUAAGUAGGGGCCCUGAGAGGGGGAUC
This 251-nucleotide ribosomal RNA is filed under the name uncultured bacterium. RNAcentral describes it as "partial 16S ribosomal RNA". It matches the Rfam family "Bacterial small subunit ribosomal RNA", at positions 57 to 305 of the family's 1533-position model. The record is from RNAcentral.